Small nuclear RNA from Sarcophilus harrisii (Tasmanian devil), 105 nucleotides. The record is from Ensembl. Lineage: Eukaryota; Metazoa; Chordata; Mammalia; Dasyuromorphia; Dasyuridae.
GUCAGUAAUGACAGCACAUAAAUUAAAAUUGGAAAGAUAUGGAGAACAUUAGCAUGGCCCCUGCCCAAGGAUGACAUGCAAAUUAGUGAAACAUUUCAUAAUAAA